AGAAUUUGAGAACAGUUUGCCAGCUAACUGUUGGGAGGAUUCUUGCAAAUAAUCCUGAAUAAAAUUUGGUCUAGUUUAUCUAAGUGAAUUUUAUAUUCACAAAAGCAUAUAUUUCCCCCAUUGGUAGAAAAUGGGCUAGAAAAAGAAUAACAGCUAUUACUCAGAUUAGUUAUGUUUAAACAGUUAAGAAAUGUUUCCUUCUUCAUAGAUUCAAGACAUAUUGAAGGACCUUUUUAAAAAGGUCACAAAAAGGUCACCAGCCCAUUUCUUGGUUCAGAACUAUUGCUGAGAUAAGCAGUUUUAAAGUGGAGCCUUAUUUCAAACCAAGAAGGGAUAAAACACACUGCUGAUGCACAAAAGGUGCAUUUGAUAAGCGAGUCCUUGGAACGAAAAUUGUGAGGACAAUAGGAUUUAACCUUUGGGAGGACGUUCCUUCAAAAUGGUCUUUCUACAAUGUCCAAGAUUUAUCACAUAUGGAAAAUAUCACAGGCUUGAUCUUGUAGAGGGAAGUUAAAAUAUAACCAAAGUGAAUGUCUAAAUGAAAAGGGCACGAUCAGUUCUCCCAUCUGGUGGCAACUGCAGUCAGUAAGACCCUAAUUUUCACUAGCAACAGAUUGGAGUUCUGUCAGCUUUCCAAAUAUGAAGUCAAUAACAAUGUUUCCUGCUGAUGAUGGACCAAUUCAAUGAGCCAAGUGAUGACCAUAGUGGAGCUGAUGGUGGAGAAAUUCUUGGGAUAGAUUUAUAGCCACGCAGUCAGGGUGAAACAUCUACUCACACAUCCACAGUGCUUUCAUAAAUGACUUGUGUAAAUACUUAGUUGUAAGGAGGAGCAGGUACAGAUUGUUUCUGGGGUCAGAGAUACUCAUCUGGGUUACAGUGCAUUUCUUGCAGAGUGGGUAGGAAAGAAAAUAGUCAUGGCGCUGGUUAUUUACAUAUUGGGGUGGGUGGGUAGCAAGUUGGAUUACUCCAGUCGCAUUCGAAUUGGCAUAAGCAGUUGACGAAGGGGUAUAAUAAAAUGGCAA
Molecule: non-coding RNA, 1022 nt
Organism: Pseudonaja textilis
Lineage: Eukaryota; Metazoa; Chordata; Lepidosauria; Squamata; Elapidae
Source: RefSeq, a predicted model, not a curated record